RNAcentral lists this ribosomal RNA (456 nucleotides) under uncultured bacterium. RNAcentral's name for it is "bacterial SSU rRNA". It matches the Rfam family "Bacterial small subunit ribosomal RNA", at positions 355 to 803 of the family's 1533-position model. The record is from RNAcentral.
UGGGGAAUAUUGCGCAAUGGGGGCAACCCUGACGCAGCCAUGCCGCGUGAAUGAAGAAGGCCUUCGGGUUGUAAAGUUCUUUCGGUAGCGAGGAAGGCAUUUAGUUUAAUAGACUAGAUGAUUGACGUUAACUACAGAAGAAGCACCGGCUAACUCCGUGCCAGCAGCCGCGGUAAUACGGAGGGUGCGAGCGUUAAUCGGAAUAACUGGGCGUAAAGGGCACGCAGGCGGUGACUUAAGUGAGGUGUGAAAGCCCCGGGCUUAACCUGGGAAUUGCAUUUCAUACUGGGUCGCUAGAGUACUUUAGGGAGGGGUAGAAUUCCACGUGUAGCGGUGAAAUGCGUAGAGAUGUGGAGGAAUACCGAAGGCGAAGGCAGCCCCAUGGGAAUGUACUGACGCUCAUGUGCGAAAGCGUGGGGAGCAAACAGGAUUAGAUACCCUGGUAGUCCACGCUGU